GACGGGGGGUGCGAGUGUUGUUCGGAAUUACUGGGCGUAAAGCGCGUGUAGGUUGAUAUAUAAGUCUGUGAUUAAAGACCGGGGCUCAACUUCGGGAAUGUUGCAGAAACUGUAUAUCUAGAGAUCGGAAGAGGUAGACGGAAUUCCUGUAGGAUUAGGGUAAAAUCUGUCGAUAGCAGGAGGAACACCAAAGGCGAAAGCAGUCUACUGGUACGUUUCUGACACUGAGACGCGAAAGCGUGGGUAGCAAACAGG
RNAcentral lists this ribosomal RNA (255 nucleotides) under uncultured bacterium. RNAcentral's name for it is "partial 16S ribosomal RNA". It matches the Rfam family "Bacterial small subunit ribosomal RNA", at positions 524 to 776 of the family's 1533-position model. The record is from RNAcentral.